This 231-nucleotide ribosomal RNA is filed under the name uncultured Staphylococcus sp. Its description in RNAcentral is "partial 16S ribosomal RNA". It matches the Rfam family "Bacterial small subunit ribosomal RNA", at positions 109 to 334 of the family's 1533-position model. Lineage: Bacteria; Bacillati; Bacillota; Bacilli; Caryophanales; Staphylococcaceae. The record is from RNAcentral.
AGUAACACGUGGAUAACCUACCUAUAAGACUGGGAUAACUUCGGGAAACCGGAGCUAAUACCGGAUAAUAUUUUGAACCGCAUGAUUCAAAAGUGGAAGACGGUCUUGCUGUCACUUAUAGAUGGAUCCGCGCUGCAUUAGCUAGUUGGUAAGGUAACGGCUUACCAAGGCAACGAUGCAUAGCCGACCUGAGAGGGUGAUCGGCCACACUGGAACUGAGACACGGUCCAG